This 497-nucleotide ribosomal RNA is filed under the name uncultured bacterium. RNAcentral describes it as "partial 16S ribosomal RNA". It matches the Rfam family "Bacterial small subunit ribosomal RNA", at positions 28 to 507 of the family's 1533-position model. The record is from RNAcentral.
GACGAACGCUGGCGGCGUGCCUAAUACAUGCAAGUUGAGCGAUGAAGAUUGGUGCUUGCACCAAUUUGAAGAGCAGCGAACGGGUGAGUAACGCGUGGGGAAUCUGCCUUUGAGCGGGGGACAACAUUUGGAAACGAAUGCUAAUACCGCAUAACAACUUUAAACAUAAGUUUUAAGUUUGAAAGAUGCAAUUGCCUCACUCAAAGAUGAUCCCGCGUUGUAUUAGCUAGUUGGUGAGGUAAAGGCUCACCAAGGCGAUGAUACAUAGACGACCUGAGAGGGUGAUCGGCCACAUUGGGACUGAGACACGGCCCAAACUCCUACGGGAGGCAGCAGUAGGGAAUCUUCGGCAAUGGACGAAAGUCUGACCGAGCAACGCAGCGUGAGUGAAGAAGGUUUUCGGAUCGUAAAACUCUGUUGGUAGAGAAGAAAGGUGGUGAGAGUGGAAAGCUCAGCAAGUGACGGUAACUACCCAGAAAGGGACGGCUAACUACGUG